GAGUUUGAUCAUGGCUCAGAUUGAACGCUGGCGGCAUGCUUUACACAUGCAAGUCGAACGGUAACAGGGAGCUUGCUCCGCUGACGAGUGGCGAACGGGUGAGUAAUACAUCGGAAUGUACCCAGUCAUGGGGGAUAACGCUUCGAAAGGAGUGCUAAUACCGCAUACGCCCUGAGGGGGAAAGUGGGGGAUGCGCAAGCACCUCACGUGAUUGGAGCAGCCGAUGGCUGAUUAGCUAGUUGGUAGGGCAAAGGCCUACCAAGGCAACGAUCAGUAGCGGGUC
Molecule: ribosomal RNA, 283 nt
Filed under: uncultured bacterium
Lineage: Bacteria
Description: partial 16S ribosomal RNA
Rfam family: Bacterial small subunit ribosomal RNA
Source: RNAcentral